UACGUAUGGGGCAAGCGUUAUCCGGAAUUAUUGGGCGUAAGAGUGCGUAGGUGGUUACCUAAGCGCAAGGUUUAAUCUUGAGGCUCAACCUCAUUCUGCCUUGCGAACUGGGCUACUUGAGUGCAGGAGGGGAAAGCGGAAUUCCCAGUGUAGCGGUGAAAUGCGUAGAUAUUGGGAAGAACACCGGUGGCGAAGGCGGCUUUCUGGACUGUAACUGACACUGAGGCACGAAAGCGUGGGGAGCAAACAGGAUUAGAUACCCCGGUAGUCCCUGA
This 275-nucleotide ribosomal RNA is filed under the name uncultured prokaryote. RNAcentral's name for it is "partial 16S ribosomal RNA". It matches the Rfam family "Bacterial small subunit ribosomal RNA", at positions 524 to 800 of the family's 1533-position model. The record is from RNAcentral.